This 483-nucleotide ribosomal RNA is filed under the name uncultured bacterium. RNAcentral's name for it is "partial 16S ribosomal RNA". It matches the Rfam family "Bacterial small subunit ribosomal RNA", at positions 28 to 507 of the family's 1533-position model. The record is from RNAcentral.
GACGAACGCUGGCGGCGUGCUUAACACAUGCAAGUCGAACGCUGAAGCUCAGCUUUUGUUGGGUGGAUGAGUGGCGAACGGGUGAGUAACACGUGAGUAACCUGCCUCCUUCUUUGGGAUAACGCCCGGAAACGGGUGCUAAUACUGGAUAUUCACUGGUCUUCGCAUGGGGGUUGGUGGAAAGGGUUUUUCUGGUGGGGGAUGGGCUCGCGGCCUAUCAGCUUGUUGGUGGGGUGAUGGCCUACCAAGGCUUUGACGGGUAGCCGGCCUGAGAGGGUGACCGGUCACAUAGGGACUGAGAUACGGCCCAGACUCCUACGGGAGGCAGCAGUGGGGAAUAUUGCACAAUGGGCGCAAGCCUGAUGCAGCGACGCCGCGUGAGGGAUGGAGGCCUUCGGGUUGUGAACCUCUUUCGCUCAUGGUCAAGCCGCAACAAUGGUUGUGGUGAGGGUAGUGGGUAAAGAAGCGCCGGCUAACUACGUG